GGAUAGGGAUUCUUUUUGUUUUACGGGUAGCACGACAGGCUGUGUUUGACGGACAGAGCGAUCUUCCUUUGUUAUUCGGACGACCAUUUGAAGAAGCACGUGUUCCCCAAACGGACGGACAGAGAGGUACAUUAGAGAGACAGACAAGGUUACAGAAUAGUUGUUUAAGAUUUUAAAGACUGAAAAUUUAAGAUUUAAAGACUGAAGAAGAAAGAUCGGUAGCUCAGGACGUUGAAAAUCGAUUCUCGAUUUUCAGAUUUCAGAAUCGAUCCCUGAAUUAUCCAAUUAUUGAACCUUAUAUACCUGUCUGUAAUUAUGAGCUUCUCCAUUCAGGGGUUUUUAAAUUAGAAUGUUCUAAAACAGCGUUUUUUGUGGUUUUUUUUUUAGAAGGGAAAGAAAGAAAUGAAGUUUUUGAAUUU
Molecule: unclassified non-coding RNA, 419 nt
Filed under: Bombus terrestris (buff-tailed bumblebee)
Lineage: Eukaryota; Metazoa; Arthropoda; Insecta; Hymenoptera; Apidae
Description: misc RNA ENSBTSG00005038729.1
Source: RNAcentral